GACGAACGCUGGCGGCGUGCUUAACACAUGCAAGUCGAACGGAAAGGCCCUGCUUUUGUGGGGUGCUCGAGUGGCGAACGGGUGAGUAACACGUGAGUAACCUGCCCUUGACUUUGGGAUAACUUCAGGAAACUGGGGCUAAUACCGGAUAGGAGCUCCUGCUUCAUGGUGGUGGUUGGAAAGUUUCGGCGGUUGGGGAUGGACUCGCGGCUUAUCAGCUUGUUGGUGGGGUAGUGGCUUACCAAGGCUUUGACGGGUAGCCGGCCUGUGAGGGGUACCGGCAACAUUGGGACUGAGAUACGGCGCAGACUCCAACGGGAGGCAGCAGUGGGGAAUAUUGCACAAUGGGCGGAAGCCUGAUGCAGAAACGCCGCGUGCGGGAUGACGGCCUACGGGUUGUAAAACGAUUUCGCCUGUGACGAAGCGUGAGUGACGGUAAUGGGUAAAGAAGCACCGGCUAACUACGUG
Molecule: ribosomal RNA, 468 nt
Filed under: uncultured bacterium
Lineage: Bacteria
Description: partial 16S ribosomal RNA
Rfam family: Bacterial small subunit ribosomal RNA
Source: RNAcentral